Molecule: ribosomal RNA, 253 nt
Filed under: uncultured bacterium
Lineage: Bacteria
Description: partial 16S ribosomal RNA
Rfam family: Bacterial small subunit ribosomal RNA
Source: RNAcentral
UACGUAGGGUGCAAGCGUUGUCCGGAAUCAUUGGGCGUAAAGAGCGUGUAGGCGGCCCGGUAAGUCCGCUGUAAAAGUCAAAGGCUCAACCUUUGAAUGUCAGUGGAUACUGCCGGGCUAGAGUCCGGAAGAGGCGAGUGGAACUCCUGGUGCAGCGGUGGAAUGCGCAGAUAUCAGGAAGAACACCAACGGCGAAGGCAGCUCGCUGGGACGGUACUGACGCUGAGACGCGAAAGCGUGGGGAGCGAACAGG